UACGUAGGGUGCAAGCGUUGUCCGGAAUUAUUGGGCGUAAAGAGCUCGUAGGCGGUCAGUCGCGUCUGCUGUGAAAACUCGGGGCUUAACUCCGGGCCUGCAGUGGGUACGGGCUGACUAGAGUGCGGUAGGGGAGACUGGAAUUCCUGGUGUAGCGGUGAAAUGCGCAGAUAUCAGGAGGAACACCGGUGGCGAAGGCGGGUCUCUGGGCCGUAACUGACGCUGAGGGGCGAAAGCGUGGGGAGCGAACAGG
RNAcentral lists this ribosomal RNA (253 nucleotides) under uncultured bacterium. RNAcentral's name for it is "partial 16S ribosomal RNA". It matches the Rfam family "Bacterial small subunit ribosomal RNA", at positions 524 to 776 of the family's 1533-position model. The record is from RNAcentral.